This 486-nucleotide ribosomal RNA is filed under the name uncultured Corynebacterium sp. RNAcentral's name for it is "bacterial SSU rRNA". It matches the Rfam family "Bacterial small subunit ribosomal RNA", at positions 9 to 507 of the family's 1533-position model. The record is from RNAcentral. Lineage: Bacteria; Bacillati; Actinomycetota; Actinomycetes; Mycobacteriales; Corynebacteriaceae.
GUAGUUUGAUCCUGGCUCAGGACGACGCUGGCGGCGUGCUUAACACAUGCAAGUCGAACGGAAAGGCCUGCAGCUUGCUGCGGGUACUCGAGUGGCGAACGGGUGAGUAACACGUGGGUGAUCUGCCCUCAACUUUGGGAUAAGCCUGGGAAACUGGGUCUAAUACCGGAUAGGAACAAUCUUUAGUGUGGUUGUUGGAAAGCUUUGCGGUUGGGGAUGAGCUCGCGGCCUAUCAGCUUGUUGGUGGGGUAAUGGCCUACCAAGGCGUCGACGGGUAGCCGGCCUGAGAGGGUGUACGGCCACAUUGGGACUGAGAUACGGCCCAGACUCCUACGGGAGGCAGCAGUGGGGAAUAUUGCACAAUGGGCGGAAGCCUGAUGCAGCGACGCCGCGUGGGGGAUGAAGGCCUUCGGGUUGUAAACUCCUUUCGACAGGGACGAAGCUUUUGUGACGGUACCUGUAUAAGAAGCACCGGCUAACUACGUG